RNAcentral lists this ribosomal RNA (392 nucleotides) under uncultured bacterium. RNAcentral's name for it is "bacterial SSU rRNA". It matches the Rfam family "Bacterial small subunit ribosomal RNA", at positions 29 to 420 of the family's 1533-position model. The record is from RNAcentral.
AUUAAACGCUGGCGGCAUGCCUUACACAUGCAAGUCGAACGGCAGCACGGGAGCUUGCUCCUGGUGGCGAGUGGCGGACGGGUGAGUAAUACAUCGGAACGUGCCCUGGAGUGGGGGAUAACGCAGCGAAAGCUACGCUAAUACCGCAUAUUCUGUGAGCAGGAAAGCAGGGGAUCGCAAGACCUUGCACUCUAGGAGCGGCCGAUGUCGGAUUAGCUAGUUGGUGGGGUAAAGGCCCACCAAGGCGACGAUCCGUAGCGGGUCUGAGAGGAUGAUCCGCCACACUGGGACUGAGACACGGCCCAGACUCCUACGGGAGGCAGCAGUGGGGAAUUUUGGACAAUGGGCGGAAGCCUGAUCCAGCCAUGCCGCGUGAGUGAAGAAGGCCUCGG